This 305-nucleotide long non-coding RNA is filed under the name Coffea arabica (coffee). Its description in RNAcentral is "long non-coding RNA (CARA_LNC004483)". Lineage: Eukaryota; Viridiplantae; Streptophyta; Magnoliopsida; Gentianales; Rubiaceae. The record is from RNAcentral.
UCAACUUUGGUGCCAAGAACUUUACCCUUCGUGUCUGGGAAGUACUCAAGCCCAGGCAGUUGAGUCACUUCUCCAGCAGCGGUUACCCCAAUGGGAUAGGUAAGCAGGUGGCCCGGAAGGUCAUGUUCCAGGGUCUCUUUGGAGUAAAGAUCCCAGUACUUGUCAGCCAUUUGGUUAACCUUUCGGAUGCAUUCCACAUUUUCAGGAUGGAGGAAGCGGUUAUCUAGCAUACCCAGAUGCUCAUACCAUAGUGCCAUCCGAAAGCCGUGAAUUUGACCCCUGGCUGGCUGCCUGAUGGAUAGAUG